AUGCUUGUCGAGACAAACAAGCAUGAACAAUACUAUAUUGUUUACAAGCUUCUUAAGUUGGUAUUAAUUCUGCCAGUAGCUACUGCUAGUGUUGAAAGGGUGUUCUCUUCAAUGAACUAUGUGAAGAAUAAGCUAAGGAGCAAAAUGGGUGAUGAUUACUUGAACAAUUGUUUGGUUACAUUUGUUGAGACAGAAUUCUUCAAUCAAGUAAAGGAUGAGGAUGUCAUCAAUCUCUUCCAAAAAGGCGAUCGCAAAGUUAUAUUGUAA
RNAcentral lists this ribosomal RNA (267 nucleotides) under Triticum aestivum (bread wheat). Its description in RNAcentral is "partial small subunit ribosomal RNA". Lineage: Eukaryota; Viridiplantae; Streptophyta; Magnoliopsida; Poales; Poaceae. The record is from RNAcentral.